This 1794-nucleotide ribosomal RNA is filed under the name Durio zibethinus. RNAcentral's name for it is "SSU rRNA". It matches the Rfam family "Eukaryotic small subunit ribosomal RNA". Lineage: Eukaryota; Viridiplantae; Streptophyta; Magnoliopsida; Malvales; Malvaceae. The record is from RNAcentral.
GGUUGAUCUUGCCAAUAGCCAUAUGCUUGUCUCAAAGAUUAAGCCAUGCAUGUGUAAGUAUGAACUAAUUCAGACUGUGAAACUAUGAAUGGCUCAUUAAAUCAGUUACAGUUUGUAUGAUGGUAUCUACUACUCGGAUAACCAUAGUAAUUCCAGAGCUAAUACAUGUAACAAACCCCGACUUUUGGAAGGGAUGCACUUAUUAGAUAAAAGGUCAAUGCGAGCUAUGCUCGUUGCUCUGAUGAUUCAUGAUAACUUGAUGGAUCGCAUGACCUUCGUGCCGGUGACGCAUCAUUCAAAUUUCUACCCUAUCAACUUUUGAUGGUAGGAUAAUGGCAUACUAUGGUGGUGACGAGUGACAGAGAAUUAGGGUUUGAUUUCAGAAAAGGAGCCUGAGAAAUGGCUACCAAAUCCAAGGAAGGCAACAGGUGCACAAAUUACCCAAUCCUAACACAGGGAGGUAGUGACAAUAAAUAACAAUAUCGGGCUCUAUGAGUUUGGUAAUUGGAAUGAGUACAAUCUAAAUCCCUUAACGAGGAUCCAUUAGAGGGCAAGUCUGGUGCCAGCAGCCACAGUAAUUCUAGCUCCAAUAGCAUUUAUUUAAGUUGUUGCAAUUAAAAAGCUUGUAGUUGGAAAUAGGGUUUGGUCGUUUAGUCUACCUCACGGUGAGCACCGGUCUGCUCGUCCUUACUGUCGGUGAUGCGCUCCUAGACUUAAUUGCUUGAGUCAUUCCUCUAGUGCUGUUACUUUGAAAAAAUUAGAGUGCUCAAAACAGGCCUACGCUUGUAUACAUAUGCAUGGGAUAACAUCAUAGGAUUUUGGUCCUAUUGUGUUGGCCUUCGGGAUCGAAGUAAUGACUAACAAGAACAGUCGAGGGCAUUUGUAUUUCAUAGUCAGAGGUGAAAUUCUUGGAUUUAUGAAAGAUGAACAACUGCGAAAGCAUUUGCCAAUGAUGUUUUCAUUAAUCAAGAAUGAAAGUUGGAGACUCGAAGAUGAUCAAAUACCGUCCUAGUCUCAACCAUAAACGAUGUCGACCAAAGAUCGACGGAUGUUUCUUUUAGAACUCUGCCAACACCUUAUGAGAAAUCAAAGUCUUUGCGUUUCGGGGGGAGUAUGAUCGUAAGGCUGAAACUUAAAGGAAUUGACGGUAGGGCACCACCAGGAGUGAAGGCUGCAGCUUAAUUUGACUCAACACGGGGAAACUUACUAGGUCCAGACAUAGUAAGGAUUGAUAGACUGAGAGCUCUUUGUUGAUUUUACUGGUGGUGGUGCAUGGCCAUUCUUAGUUGGUGGAGCGAUUUGUCUGGUUAAUUCCAUUAACGAACAAGACCUCAACCUGCUAACUAGCUACGCAGAGGUGAUCUUUCGUGGCUAGCUUCUUAGAGGGACUAUGGCCACUUAGGCCAAGGAAGUUUGAGGCAAUAACAAGUCUGUGAUGCCCUUAGAUGUUCUGGGCCGCAUGCUUGCUACACUAAUGUAUUCAAUGAGUCUAUAGCCUUGGCCGAUAGGCUAGGGUAAUCUUUGAAAUUUCAUCAUGAUGGGGAUAGAUCAUUGCAAUUAUUGGUCUUCAACGAGGAAUUCCUAUAAGCAUAAGUCAUCAGCUCGCGUUGACUACGUACCUACCCUUUGUAGACACCGCUCAUCACUCCUACCAAUUGAAUGGUCUGUUGAAGUGUUUGGAUCAUAGCGACGUGGAUAGUUCACCGCCUACGACGUUGUGAGAAGUCCAUUGAACCUUAUCAUUUAGAGGAAAGAGAAGUCGUAACAAGAUUUCUGUAGGGGAACCUACGGAAG